This 497-nucleotide ribosomal RNA is filed under the name uncultured bacterium. RNAcentral describes it as "partial 16S ribosomal RNA". It matches the Rfam family "Bacterial small subunit ribosomal RNA", at positions 28 to 507 of the family's 1533-position model. The record is from RNAcentral.
GAUGAACGCUGGCGGCGUGCCUAAUACAUGCAAGUCGAGCGAACAGACGAGGAGCUUGCUCCUCUGACGUUAGCGGCGGACGGGUGAGUGACACGUGGAUAACCUACCUAUAAGACUGGGAUAACUUCGGGAAACCGGAGCUAAUACCGGAUAAUAUAUUGAACCGCAUGGUUCAAUAGUGAAAGACGGUUUUGCUGUCACUUAUAGAUGGAUCCGCGCCGCAUUAGCUAGUUGGUAAGGUAACGGCUUACCAAGGCAACGAUGCGUAGCCGGCCUGAGAGGGUGAUCGGCCACACUGGAACUGAGACACGGUCCAGACUCCUACGGGAGGCAGCAGUAGGGAAUCUUCCGCAAUGGGCGAAAGCCUGACGGAGCAACGCCGCGUGAGUGAUGAAGGUCUUCGGAUCGUAAAACUCUGUUAUUAGGGAAGAACAAAUGUGUAAGUAACUAUGCACGUCUUGACGGUACCUAAUCAGAAAGCCACGGCUAACUACGUG